AGAGUUUGAUCAUGGCUCAGAAUCAACGCUGGCGGCGUGCCUAACACAUGCAAGUCGAACGCGAAAGCCCCGCAAGGGGUAAGUAGAGUGGCAAACGGGUGAGUAACACGUGGGUGACCUGCCUUCGAGUGGGGGAUAACGUCCCGAAAGGGACGCUAAUACCGCAUAAUAUCCUGCCUUUUAAGAGGUGGACAUCAAAGCUGGGGACCGCAAGGCCUGGCGCUUGAAGAGGGGCCCGCGCCUGAUUAGCUAGUUGGUGUGGUAAUGGCUCACCAAGGCAACGAUCAGUAUCCGGCCUGAGAGGGCGGACGGACACACUGGGACUGAGACACGGCCCAGACUCCUACGGGAGGCAGCAGUGGGGAAUUGUUCGCAAUGGGCGCAAGCCUGACGACGCAACGCCGCGUGGAGGAUGAAGACCUUCGGGUCGUAAACUCCUUUCGAUCGAGACGAAUGGCCUCUGGGUGAACAGUCCGGAGGAGUGACGGUACCGAGAGAAGAAGCCCCGGCUAACUCCGUGCCAGCAGCGGCGGUAAUUC
This 539-nucleotide ribosomal RNA is filed under the name uncultured bacterium. Its description in RNAcentral is "bacterial SSU rRNA". It matches the Rfam family "Bacterial small subunit ribosomal RNA", at positions 8 to 526 of the family's 1533-position model. The record is from RNAcentral.